RNAcentral lists this ribosomal RNA (490 nucleotides) under uncultured bacterium. RNAcentral's name for it is "partial 16S ribosomal RNA". It matches the Rfam family "Bacterial small subunit ribosomal RNA", at positions 30 to 507 of the family's 1533-position model. The record is from RNAcentral.
AUUGAACGCUGGCGGCAGGCCUAACACAUGCAAGUCGAACGGUAACAGGAAGAAGCUUGCUUCUUUGCUGACGAGUGGCGGACGGGUGAGUAAUGUCUGGGAAACUGCCUGAUGGAGGGGGAUAACUACUGGAAACGGUAGCUAAUACCGCAUAAUGUCGCAAGACCAAAGAGGGGGACCUUCGGGCCUCUUGCCAUCGUAUGUGCCCAGAUGGGAUUAGCUAGUAGGUGGGGUAACGGCUCACCUAGGCGACGAUCCCUAGCUGGUCUGAGAGGAUGACCAGCCACACUGGAACUGAGACACGGUCCAGACUCCUACGGGAGGCAGCAGUGGGGAAUAUUGCACAAUGGGCGCAAGCCUGAUGCAGCUAUGCCGCGUGUAUGAAGAAGGCCUUCGGGUUGUAAAGUACUUUCAGCGGGGAGGAAGGGAGUAAAGUUAAUACCUUUGCUCAUUGACGUUACCCGAAGAAGAAGCACCGGCUAACUCCGUG